RNAcentral lists this unclassified non-coding RNA (337 nucleotides) under soil metagenome. RNAcentral's name for it is "partial contains 5.8S ribosomal RNA, internal transcribed spacer 2, and large subunit ribosomal RNA". The stretch from base 1 to 120 matches the Rfam family "5.8S ribosomal RNA", at positions 35 to 154 of the family's 154-position model. The record is from RNAcentral.
GAUGAAGAACGUAGUGAAAUGCGAUAAGUAGUGUGAAUUGCAGAAUUCAGUGAAUCAUCGAAUCUUUGAACGCCCAUUGCGCCCCUUGGUAUUCCAUGGGGCAUGCCUGUUCGAGCGUCAUUUGUACCUUCAAGCUCUGCUUGGUGUUGGGUGUUUGUCUCGCCUCUGCGUGUAGACUCGCCUCAAAACAAUUGGCAGCCGGCGUAUUGAUUUCGGAGCGCAGUACAUCUCGCGCUUUGCACUCAUAACGACGACGUCCAAAAGUACAUUUUUACACUCUUGACCUCGGAUCAGGUAGGGAUACCCGCUGAACUUAAGCAUAUCAAUAAGCGGAGGA